RNAcentral lists this ribosomal RNA (516 nucleotides) under Didymella bellidis. RNAcentral describes it as "eukaryotic LSU rRNA". The stretch from base 146 to 299 matches the Rfam family "5.8S ribosomal RNA". Lineage: Eukaryota; Fungi; Ascomycota; Dothideomycetes; Pleosporales; Didymellaceae. The record is from RNAcentral.
AUGCCUUGUCUCGUACGGGCUUUGCCUGCCAUCUCUUACCCAUGUCUUUUGAGUACCUUACGUUUCCUCGGCGGGUCCGCCCGCCGACUGGACAAUUUAAACCACUUGCAGUUGCAAUCAGCGUCUGAAAAAACUUAAUAGUUACAACUUUCAACAACGGAUCUCUUGGUUCUGGCAUCGAUGAAGAACGCAGCGAAAUGCGAUAAGUAGUGUGAAUUGCAGAAUUCAGUGAAUCAUCGAAUCUUUGAACGCACAUUGCGCCCCUUGGUAUUCCAUGGGGCAUGCCUGUUCGAGCGUCAUUUGUACCUUCAAGCCUUGCUUGGUGUUGGGUGUUUGUCUCGCCUCUGCGCGUAGACUCGCCUCAAAACAAUUGGCAGCCGGCGUAUUGAUUUCGGAGCGCAGUACAUCUCGCGCUUUGCACUCAGAACGACGACGUCCAAAAGUACAUUUUUACACUCUUGACCUCGGAUCAGGUAGGGAUACCCGCUGAACUUAAGCAUAUCAAAGGGGGAAGGA